GAGACACCCUUAUGGGGCAGGACUUGUUUCAGUGGGGCUUUGGUGCUCACUGAGUCUGCCCCUUGAGUGUGUCGCU
Molecule: non-coding RNA, 76 nt
Organism: Myotis brandtii (Brandt's bat)
Lineage: Eukaryota; Metazoa; Chordata; Mammalia; Chiroptera; Vespertilionidae
Source: Rfam